GCCGAGAUCGCAUAGCCUGGUUAUUGCACUGGAUUGCUAAUCCAGGUCCUUUGGGACUCCUGGGUUCAAAUCCCAGUCUCGGCG
Molecule: transfer RNA, 84 nt
Filed under: Candidatus Woesearchaeota archaeon
Lineage: Archaea; Nanobdellati; Candidatus Woesearchaeota
Description: tRNA-Ser
Rfam family: tRNA
About the family: Transfer RNA (tRNA) molecules are approximately 80 nucleotides in length. Their secondary structure includes four short double-helical elements and three loops (D, anti-codon, and T loops). Further hydrogen bonds mediate the characteristic L-shaped molecular structure. tRNAs have two regions of fundamental functional importance: the anti-codon, which is responsible for specific mRNA codon recognition, and the 3' end, to which the tRNAs corresponding amino acid is attached (by aminoacyl-tRNA synthetases). tRNAs cope with the degeneracy of the genetic code in two manners: having more than one tRNA (with a specific anti-codon) for a particular amino acid; and 'wobble' base-pairing, i.e. permitting non-standard base-pairing at the 3rd anti-codon position.
Source: RNAcentral